GCCAGUGUCCUGCUCGCCAUCCCCGCCAUGCUGUCUCUAGACUUUUUGGAUGAUGUGCCACAGAUGAACAAGCAGCAGCUCUAUUAUCAAGUCCUAAAUUUCGGAAUGAUUGUCUCAUCGGCGCUAAUGAUCUGGAAGGGGUUAAUGGUAAUAACUGGGAGUGAAAGUCCAAUUGUAGUGCUGCUCAGUGGCAGCAUGGAACCUGCAUUUCACAGGGGAGAUCUUCUCUUUCUAACAAAUCGAGUUGAAGAUCCCAUACAAGUGGGAGAAACUGCUGUUUUAAGGAUAGAAGGAAGAAAGAUUCCUAUAGUUCACCGAGUCUUGAAGAUUCAUGAAAAACAAAAUGGGCAUCUCAAGUUUUUGACCAAAGGAGUUAAUAAUGCGGUUGAUGCCCCAGGCCUCUAUAAACAAGAACAACAUUCGCUAGAGAAAAAAGAUGUCGUGGGGAGAGCCAGGGGAUUUUUCCUUCUAAAUUUAAGUAUGAAGUGCUCUUUUUGCUGGGUUUAUUUGUGCUGGUCCAUCAUGAGUAAGAAGUCUGCCUUGCUGUUCCUGGGAAGAUGCCACACUUUUCCUUACUGGAUGUUUGGAGUAGAUAUUGGUUUGUGA
Cercocebus atys (sooty mangabey) is the source of this 606-nucleotide RNA transcript. It is a transcript of the gene named signal peptidase complex catalytic subunit SEC11A pseudogene, with no coding region annotated. NCBI's taxonomy places the organism in Eukaryota, Metazoa, Chordata, Mammalia, Primates, Cercopithecidae. The record is from RefSeq and is a predicted model, not a curated record. The transcript has 2 exons.